Molecule: ribosomal RNA, 1383 nt
Filed under: Pseudomonas orientalis
Lineage: Bacteria; Pseudomonadati; Pseudomonadota; Gammaproteobacteria; Pseudomonadales; Pseudomonadaceae
Description: partial 23S ribosomal RNA
Rfam family: Bacterial large subunit ribosomal RNA
Source: RNAcentral
AGACGACGAAGUGGUUGAUGCCAUGCUUCCAAGAAAAGCUUCUAAGCUUCAGGUAACCAGGAACCGUACCCCAAACCGACACAGGUGGUUGGGUAGAGAAUACCAAGGCGCUUGAGAGAACUCGGGUGAAGGAACUAGGCAAAAUGGCACCGUAACUUCGGGAGAAGGUGCGCCGGUGAGGGUGAAGGACUUGCUCCGUAAGCUCAUGCCGGUCGAAGAUACCAGGCCGCUGCGACUGUUUAUUAAAAACACAGCACUCUGCAAACACGAAAGUGGACGUAUAGGGUGUGACGCCUGCCCGGUGCCGGAAGGUUAAUUGAUGGGGUUAGCUAACGCGAAGCUCUUGAUCGAAGCCCCGGUAAACGGCGGCCGUAACUAUAACGGUCCUAAGGUAGCGAAAUUCCUUGUCGGGUAAGUUCCGACCUGCACGAAUGGCGUAACGAUGGCGGCGCUGUCUCCACCCGAGACUCAGUGAAAUUGAAAUCGCUGUGAAGAUGCAGUGUAUCCGCGGCUAGACGGAAAGACCCCGUGAACCUUUACUAUAGCUUUGCACUGGACUUUGAAUUUGCUUGUGUAGGAUAGGUGGGAGGCUUUGAAGCGUGGACGCCAGUCUGCGUGGAGCCAACCUUGAAAUACCACCCUGGCAACUUUGAGGUUCUAACUCAGGUCCGUUAUCCGGAUCGAGGACAGUGUAUGGUGGGUAGUUUGACUGGGGCGGUCUCCUCCUAAAGAGUAACGGAGGAGUACGAAGGUGCGCUCAGACCGGUCGGAAAUCGGUCGUAGAGUAUAAAGGCAAAAGCGCGCUUGACUGCGAGACAGACACGUCGAGCAGGUACGAAAGUAGGUCUUAGUGAUCCGGUGGUUCUGUAUGGAAGGGCCAUCGCUCAACGGAUAAAAGGUACUCCGGGGAUAACAGGCUGAUACCGCCCAAGAGUUCAUAUCGACGGCGGUGUUUGGCACCUCGAUGUCGGCUCAUCACAUCCUGGGGCUGAAGCCGGUCCCAAGGGUAUGGCUGUUCGCCAUUUAAAGUGGUACGCGAGCUGGGUUUAGAACGUCGUGAGACAGUUCGGUCCCUAUCUGCCGUGGACGUUUGAGAUUUGAGAGGGGCUGCUCCUAGUACGAGAGGACCGGAGUGGACGAACCUCUGGUGUUCCGGUUGUCACGCCAGUGGCAUUGCCGGGUAGCUAUGUUCGGAAUAGAUAACCGCUGAAAGCAUCUAAGCGGGAAACUAGCCUCAAGAUGAGAUCUCACUGGAACCUUGAGUUCCCUGAAGGGCCGUCGAAGACUACGACGUUGAUAGGUUGGGUGUGUAAGCGCUGUGAGGCGUUGAGCUAACCAAUACUAAUUGCCCGUGAGGCUUGACCAUAUAACACCCAAGCAAUU